RNAcentral lists this ribosomal RNA (524 nucleotides) under uncultured bacterium. RNAcentral's name for it is "partial 16S ribosomal RNA". It matches the Rfam family "Bacterial small subunit ribosomal RNA", at positions 28 to 523 of the family's 1533-position model. The record is from RNAcentral.
GACGAACGCUGGCGGCGUGCCUAAUACAUGCAAGUCGAACGAAGCUGUUUUAACUGGUGCUUGCACCGACUUAAACAACUGAGUGGCGAACGGGUGAGUAACACGUGGGUAACCUGCCCCAAAGCGGGGGAUAACAUUUGGAAACAGAUGCUAAUACCGCAUAACCACAGAAACCACAUGGUUUCUGUGUCAAAGAUGGUUUCGGCUAUCACUUUGGGAUGGACCCGCGGCGUAUUAGCUAGUUGGUAAGGUAAUGGCUUACCAAGGCAAUGAUACGUAGCCGAACUGAGAGGGUGAUCGGCCACAUUGGGACUGAGACACGGCCCAAACUCCUACGGGAGGCAGCAGUAGGGAAUCUUCCACAAUGGACGAAAGUCUGAUGGAGCAACGCCGCGUGAGUGAAGAAGGUUUUCGGAUCGUAAGACUCUGUUGUCAGAGAAGAACGUGUGCGAGAGUAACUGUUCGUGCAGUGACGGUAUCUGGCCAGAAAGCCACGGCUAACUACGUGCCAGCCGCCGCCGUAA